CGUAUAAAUGCAUCGGUAAUGAACAAAAUUUUGGAGAUGUGACUUUGUAUUUCAUUGUCUUACUGACCAAUCAGCCCAUGAGCAAUGCCGAAUUCAGCUUAGGCACGAUCAUAUAUGUGUGGGUCAUGUAGUUUACUUAAUAUCUACUUCACUCACUUGUCAGCUUUUGCUGUUAGCUGUGGUAGCCUGUUUCCUUGACCCAUAGCAGGAAAUAAAGCAGUCGGUGUGAUGACAGCAGGGCAGACCUUUACAAUCGAACCCAUGAUCAAUGCAGGAGUUUGGCGUGACCGGUUAUAGCUUGAUGGAUGGAUGGUUGUUUCUGAAGUUGGCAAGUGUAGUGCUCAGUUCGAGCACACUCUCCUGGUAAUGAUUGUGGAAAUCAGUCCUCUACUUGUCAAUGAUCUGUAUUUUCUGGAAGUAUUAUGUACAUGAUUGUUGUGGCCACAACAUUUCUUCGGUGGUCUCUGCCAAAACUUCCUGAGGUUAUCUUACUUGAAGACCUUUUCGUGAGCAUCGCUUUGUCAUUGAGACAAGAAAUGAACAAUGCUUUUAUCAUUGGGACUUCGGAAAAUAUCUGAUGGUGAUUGUGGGCUUGUGGGUUGUUUCUAUAAUUGGUAGUUGGUUCAAUUUCUUGACUCUCUUCUACAUAGGGAUGCAAUGGACUUUUUCAAAUAAGGACUCGAAGAUGGAGCAGGCACGAGAGAUUGUUGGGAAGCUAAAGGAGAGGUUUCCUAGAACUGCCCAGAUGUGGAAGGAUGUGGAAGAUGGUUGGCCUCAAAAGGGAAGACGAUUUAGUUUGCUUGGUUGAGGUGAGACUGAGGAAUUGAAUAACCAUUGUAAUUUUUCUCAUCUCUUCUUGAUUAAGCUGAAUGUCGGCAUUUACAUCAA
Molecule: long non-coding RNA, 888 nt
Organism: Magnolia sinica
Lineage: Eukaryota; Viridiplantae; Streptophyta; Magnoliopsida; Magnoliales; Magnoliaceae
Exons: 6
Source: RefSeq, a predicted model, not a curated record